Molecule: ribosomal RNA, 425 nt
Filed under: uncultured bacterium
Lineage: Bacteria
Description: bacterial SSU rRNA
Rfam family: Bacterial small subunit ribosomal RNA
Source: RNAcentral
GGGGAAUUUUGGACAAUGGGCGAAAGCCUGAUCCAGCCAUUCCGCGUGAGUGAAGAAGGCCUUCGGGUUGUAAAGCUCUUUCGGCAGGAACGAAACGGUGGGCUCUAACAUAGCCUGCUAAUGACGGUACCUGAAGAAGAAGCACCGGCUAACUACGUGCCAGCAGCCGCGGUAAUACGUAGGGUGCGAGCGUUAAUCGGAAUUACUGGGCGUAAAGCGUGCGCAGGUGGUUGUUUAAGACAGAUGUGAAAUCCCCGGGCUUAACCUGGGAACUGCGUUUGUGACUGGACAGCUAGAGUGCGGCAGAGGGGGGUGGAAUUCCACGUGUAGCAGUGAAAUGCGUAGAGAUGUGGAGGAACACCGAUGGCGAAGGCAGCCCCCUGGGCCAGCACUGACGCUCAUGCACGAAAGCGUGGGGAGCAAAC